Molecule: transfer RNA, 73 nt
Filed under: Camelus bactrianus (Bactrian camel)
Lineage: Eukaryota; Metazoa; Chordata; Mammalia; Artiodactyla; Camelidae
Also listed under: 2 other names
Rfam family: tRNA
About the family: Transfer RNA (tRNA) molecules are approximately 80 nucleotides in length. Their secondary structure includes four short double-helical elements and three loops (D, anti-codon, and T loops). Further hydrogen bonds mediate the characteristic L-shaped molecular structure. tRNAs have two regions of fundamental functional importance: the anti-codon, which is responsible for specific mRNA codon recognition, and the 3' end, to which the tRNAs corresponding amino acid is attached (by aminoacyl-tRNA synthetases). tRNAs cope with the degeneracy of the genetic code in two manners: having more than one tRNA (with a specific anti-codon) for a particular amino acid; and 'wobble' base-pairing, i.e. permitting non-standard base-pairing at the 3rd anti-codon position.
Source: Rfam by way of RNAcentral
GGAGGGUUCAGCUCAGUGGUAGAGUGCGUGCUUAGCAUGCAUGAGGUCCUGGGUUCAAUCCCCAGUACUUCCA